Molecule: transfer RNA, 82 nt
Filed under: Candidatus Filomicrobium marinum
Lineage: Bacteria; Pseudomonadati; Pseudomonadota; Alphaproteobacteria; Hyphomicrobiales; Hyphomicrobiaceae
Rfam family: tRNA
About the family: Transfer RNA (tRNA) molecules are approximately 80 nucleotides in length.
Source: Rfam by way of RNAcentral
GCGGUCGUGGCGGAAUUGGUAGACGCGCUACCUUGAGGUGGUAGUGGGUAACUCCGUGGAGGUUCGAGUCCUCUCGACCGCA